Molecule: long non-coding RNA, 420 nt
Organism: Numida meleagris (helmeted guineafowl)
Lineage: Eukaryota; Metazoa; Chordata; Aves; Galliformes; Numididae
Exons: 3
Source: RefSeq, a predicted model, not a curated record
AGGCGGGGCCGGCCCCGGGGAGCUCAGGUGCAGACGAUGCAGCUGAGGGAGAGGAAGGGGUGGAGACAGGAUCCACCCCUUCCCAGCCCUCAUUUAAGGGCCGGCAGGGGAGGAGAGAGCCUCUCUCUCAGGAGGUGCCUGCCUGCCCGUGGCCUUCUGUAGAUGGUGCUGAAGGAUGAGGAACCGUCGACUCCUCAGGGGUAGAAAGGUUUGGCUGCAACAUCUCCAUACAGCAGCAGGCAGCACGUUCACCCACCGCAUGAAGUUGGCCGAGACCAAGCAUGGGACAGGCUGGCCCAGGAGUCCGCAUCGCCUGAGGCGUUCCAGGAAAGGAGCAGGACCUAUUUCCAUCGGCCGCAUCAGGCUUCGCUCUCCACUCGGGACAAAGCUCCGCAGGAACCGACUCACCGAGGUUGGACG